This 740-nucleotide ribosomal RNA is filed under the name uncultured bacterium. Its description in RNAcentral is "bacterial SSU rRNA". It matches the Rfam family "Bacterial small subunit ribosomal RNA", at positions 142 to 883 of the family's 1533-position model. The record is from RNAcentral.
GACAGCCUUCUGAAGGGAAGAUUAAUACAAGAUGGCAUCAUGAGUCCGCAUGUUCACAUGAUUAAAGGUAUUCCGGUAGACGAUGGGGAUGCGUUCCAUUAGAUAGUAGGCGGGGUAACGGCCCACCUAGUCUUCGAUGGAUAGGGGUUCUGAGAGGAAGGUCCCCCACAUUGGAACUGAGACACGGUCCAAACUCCUACGGGAGGCAGCAGUGAGGAAUAUUGGUCAAUGGGCGAGAGCCUGAACCAGCCAAGUAGCGUGAAGGAUGACUGCCCUAUGGGUUGUAAACUUCUUUUAUAAAGGAAUAAAGUCGGGUAUGCAUACCCGUUUGCAUGUACUUUAUGAAUAAGGAUCGGCUAACUCCGUGCCAGCAGCCGCGGUAAUACGGAGGAUCCGAGCGUUAUCCGGAUUUAUUGGGUUUAAAGGGAGCGUAGAUGGAUGUUUAAGUCAGUUGUGAAAGUUUGCGGCUCAACCGUAAAAUUGCAGUUGAUACUGGAUAUCUUGAGUGCAGUUGAGGCAGGCGGAAUUCGUGGUGUAGCGGUGAAAUGCUUAGAUAUCACGAAGAACUCCGAUUGCGAAGGCAGCCUGCUAAGCUGCAACUGACAUUGAGGCUCGAAAGUGUGGGUAUCAAACAGGAUUAGAUACCCUGGUAGUCCACACGGUAAACGAUGAAUACUCGCUGUUUGCGAUAUACGGCAAGCGGCCAAGCGAAAGCGUUAAGUAUUCCACCUGGGGAGUAC